This 783-nucleotide ribosomal RNA is filed under the name uncultured marine bacterium. RNAcentral's name for it is "bacterial SSU rRNA". It matches the Rfam family "Bacterial small subunit ribosomal RNA", at positions 14 to 794 of the family's 1533-position model. The record is from RNAcentral.
UGAUCCUGGCUCAGAUUGAACGCUGGCGGCAGGCCUAACACAUGCAAGUCGAACGGUAACAUUUAUAGCUUGCUAUAAGAUGACGAGUGGCGGACGGGUGAGUAAUGCUUAGGAACUUGCCUUUUGGUGGGGGAUAACAGUUGGAAACGACUGCUAAUACCGCAUAAUGUCUUUGGACCAAAGGGGGCUUCGGCUCUCACCAAGAGAGAGGCCUAAGUGAGAUUAGUUAGUUGGUGGGGUAAAGGCUUACCAAGACGACGAUCUCUAGCUGUUCUGAGAGGAAGAUCAGCCACACUGGGACUGAGACACGGCCCAGACUCCUACGGGAGGCAGCAGUGGGGAAUAUUGCACAAUGGGGGGAACCCUGAUGCAGCCAUGCCGCGUGUGUGAAGAAGGCCUUCGGGUUGUAAAGCACUUUCAGUUGUGAGGAAAGGUUGGUAGUUAAUACCUGCCAGCUGUGACGUUAACAACAGAAGAAGCACCGGCUAACUCCGUGCCAGCAGCCGCGGUAAUACGGAGGGUGCGAGCGUUAAUCGGAAUUACUGGGCGUAAAGCGCACGCAGGCGGUUUGUUAAGCGAGAUGUGAAAGCCCCGGGCUCAACCUGGGAGGGUCAUUUCGAACUGGCAGACUAGAGUUUUGGAGAGGGGAGUGGAAUUCCAGGUGUAGCGGUGAAAUGCGUAGAUAUCUGGAGGAACAUCAGUGGCGAAGGCGACUCCCUGGUCAAAGACUGACGCUCAUGUACGAAAGUGUGGGUAGCGAACAGGAUUAGAUACCCUGGUAGU